Molecule: ribosomal RNA, 439 nt
Filed under: Cycloramphus bandeirensis
Lineage: Eukaryota; Metazoa; Chordata; Amphibia; Anura; Cycloramphidae
Description: partial 16S ribosomal RNA
Rfam family: Bacterial large subunit ribosomal RNA
Source: RNAcentral
CAUCGCCUCUUGCAUAUAUAAGAGGUCCAGCCUGCCCAGUGACUUUGUUCAACGGCCGCGGUAUCCUAACCGUGCGAAGGUAGCGUAAUCACUUGUUCUUUAAAUGAGGACUAGUAUGAAAGGCAUCACGAGGGUUAUACUGUCUCCUUUUUCUAAUCAGUGAAACUAAUUUUCCCGUGAAGAAGCGGGAAUAAUAUUAUAAGACGAGAAGACCCUAUGGAGCUUUAAAUGAUAAUAACAAUUGCUACUCAUAACUUACUUCAGAAAAUUAAACUAUAUCUUAGCACCAUGAUUAUUAAUUUUAGGUUGGGGUGACCGCGGAGAAUAAAAUAUCCUCCAUAUUGAAAUAGAACCUUAAUUCUAAGCAAAAAGCUACAACUUUAUGCAUCAAAAAAUUGACAUCAAUUGACCCAAUAUUUUGACCAACGAACCAAGUUAC